ACUCCUACGGGAGGCAGCAGUGGGGAAUAUUGCACAAUGGGCGAAAGCCUGAUGCAGCAACGCCGCGUGAGCGAUGAAGGCCUUCGGGUCGUAAAGCUCUGUCCUCAAGGAAGAUAAUGACGGUACUGAG
Molecule: ribosomal RNA, 130 nt
Filed under: uncultured Peptostreptococcaceae bacterium
Lineage: Bacteria; Bacillati; Bacillota; Clostridia; Peptostreptococcales; Peptostreptococcaceae
Description: partial 16S ribosomal RNA
Rfam family: Bacterial small subunit ribosomal RNA
Source: RNAcentral